GUUUAAAGUCACGUUUUCACUUCUCGACCUAAACACCAAUAAAAAGUCGUCGUAAAGAUGGCUCUACCUUCAGGGAGUCGUGCCAGGAUGAGGUGGUCCCACAGAAAUUGGAAAACAUCCAGCGGACGGGGAUGGAUCAUGUCAUUGACUCUCUGAUAUAAUGAGACAUAGGUUGUCCCGUCUUAAUAUGGAGGAAUAUUAUUAAAAAGUGACGAGAAAUAUGA
This is a long non-coding RNA of Poecilia reticulata (guppy), 224 nucleotides long. RefSeq lists it as uncharacterized. NCBI's taxonomy places the organism in Eukaryota, Metazoa, Chordata, Actinopteri, Cyprinodontiformes, Poeciliidae. The record is from RefSeq and is a predicted model, not a curated record.